Non-coding RNA from Polypterus senegalus (gray bichir), 405 nucleotides. The record is from the annotation of a RefSeq genome assembly. Lineage: Eukaryota; Metazoa; Chordata; Cladistia; Polypteriformes; Polypteridae.
GAAAAUAACAUUUACAUCAGCAUGACUCUUACAUCAGUAAUUUAUGUUUUUCUAGUAAUUAUACCAUGUGUGAAGAGCAGUUUGACUUCCAUUCCUGCUGGACCAGAACUGAAGAAACCACAAGAGUCCAUAACACUUUCUUGUAAAGGAACAGGAUUUACUUUUGGUGAUUAUGGCAUGCAUUGGAUACGCCAGGGUGCAGGGAAGCCCCUAGAAUGGCUUGGUGCUAUCUGGUAUGAUGCAAGUCGUACCGAAUAUGCAACUUCAGUAAAAGGAAGAUUUACAAUCACGAGAGACAAUUCAAAAAGUUUAGUGUUUCUAGAAAUGACUAAAUUAACACCAGAGGACACUGCUACAUAUUACUGUGCCAGAGCAGCACAGCUGUCAGGACAAAUGAAGACAUAA